CGGGUCGUCAAGCAAUAUCCCGAGCCGACGCGCGGCGAGUCCCGCGUACUCCAAACCAGCUGGCUGUCUGGAGCUUAUUAUUAUGCUGUCCGACGGGAUCCCAGGCGGUUGCGCCACCUCGGCGGUGAUCGCCGCCGGCGCCCUAUCCCUCUCCUUCCGCCGCACCGUCGUGAGCCUUCGCCUCCCGACGCCGCGGCUCUCGCCGCCGCCGCUCCGGCGGCACCUCCCCAUCCAUGCUCUCGCUUUGAAGCGCAACCCCAAACGCUUGAAAUACUCCGCUCCGCGCUUCUUCAAGAAUGGGGAGAGGAUGGUAUACGUGGAGAUGGACACCGGAGCCGAUAGUUGGAAGCUGGAACCCGUUAUCAAGGUCAUCAAAGAAGGAGGCGUCGGUGUGAUCCCCACCGAUACAGUGUAUGCUAUGGUUUGUGAUCUGAAAAGUCAUUCCUCCAUCGAACGCCUUCGCAGAAUCAAAGAAGAGGACUCAAAGCCCCUCAGUAUUUUGUGCCGCUCGUUUCAAGAUAUAGAUACUUAUACAACGGGUUUCCCACGUGGUAAUGCUCAAGGUCAACCAAAUAUCUUUCGAGCUGUAAAGCAUUGUUUGCCUGGGCCAUAUACCUUUAUUCUACCUGCAAGCAAGCAACUGCCAAAACAAUGCAUAAAGCCCGGGAUGGCAGCUAAACACGCAACAAGGAAGCAUGUUGGUGUUCGUAUUCCAGAUGAUUCUAUUUGUCAAGCCAUAUUGCAAAAUUUGGAUGCACCUUUGGUUUGCACAAGUGUAAAGUGGCCUGAAAAGGAUCAGUGGAUGUUAGAUCCUGUUAUCAUUGCAGAUACCUAUGAGCCAGAGGGUCUUGAUUUUGUUGUUGAUGGUGGUGUUAGAGUGGCUGAUCCAUCAACGGUGGUUGAUAUGACUGGAGCUUAUCCAAAAGUCAUUCGGCAAGGAAAGUGACUGUCACCGGAAAGUCCUGCCUUUUCAUAAAAAGAACGUCUUAGAAUGGUGCAGGGUGGUUGUUACGAGCAUAGGUGACGAGACGGAGGGAUAUAUAUUUAUUAUUCAUGAAAGAUGUUUUGAUUGAGUUCAGGGUCCAAGGCUGGACUGGAUGGUGGUGGAAGGUGAAGACACUGCAGCGCAAGAGGAGUUGCCUUUUCUUCAAGCAGCUUGACGGUAUCUCCAACUAACCAAAUACAACAACCAAUCUUUGUUCUUGAAGUUGACUACACGAGGAUAAACCUCUAAAUCUAAAGGACUGAGCAUUUUGCCAUGGAAGGAACGAAAAAGAGAAUCCUGUAAAUAUGCUGAUGUAGAUGCCUAGUUGGUUAACCAGUAGUCUCUGAUUUGAAACCAACAGACAUGAUAUGUUUCCAUACGUUGUUCUCACCUAUGUUAUAUUCAUGAUACUGCGUAUGGCUAAUUUGAAUGAACAGAUACCUCAUGGCCUCCUAGUAUUCA
Molecule: non-coding RNA, 1447 nt
Organism: Elaeis guineensis (African oil palm)
Lineage: Eukaryota; Viridiplantae; Streptophyta; Magnoliopsida; Arecales; Arecaceae
Source: RefSeq, a predicted model, not a curated record